GCAAACUUGGUCAUUUAGAGGAAGUAAAAGUCGUAACAAGGUUUCCGUAGGUGAACCUGCGGAAGGAUCAUUAACGUAUCUCUGACGGGGUGCGACCCGCCCUGCUCCGACCCGAGAGGGUUGUGCAGCGGGCGGUCGCCCCCGCUCAAACCUCACAAACCCACCGUGAACCUUCACGGCGGAUGGGGCCCGGUUAGCGCCGUGUCCCUGAAGCCGCAUACCAAACUCCAGUUGUAAAAGAAUGUACUUGCGGACCUUGAGCCGCCUAAACACAUAACAACUUUCAACAACGGAUCUCUUGGCUCUCGCAUCGAUGAAGAACGCAGC
This 327-nucleotide unclassified non-coding RNA is filed under the name uncultured fungus. RNAcentral's name for it is "partial contains small subunit ribosomal RNA, internal transcribed spacer 1, and 5.8S ribosomal RNA". The stretch from base 1 to 73 matches the Rfam family "Eukaryotic small subunit ribosomal RNA", at positions 1759 to 1831 of the family's 1831-position model. The record is from RNAcentral. Lineage: Eukaryota; Fungi.